RNAcentral lists this ribosomal RNA (433 nucleotides) under uncultured bacterium. RNAcentral's name for it is "partial 16S ribosomal RNA". It matches the Rfam family "Bacterial small subunit ribosomal RNA", at positions 29 to 507 of the family's 1533-position model. The record is from RNAcentral.
AACGAACGCUGGCGGCAGGCCUAACACAUGCAAGUCGAGCGCGCCCUUCGGGGUGAGCGGCGGACGGGUGAGUAACGCGUGGGAACGUGCCCUUUUCUACGGAAUAGCCCCGGGAAACUGAGAGUAAUACCGUAUACGCCCUGUGGGUGAAAGAUUCAUCGUAAAAGGAUCGGCGGGCGUUGGAUUAGGUAGUUGGGGGGGUAAUGGCCUACCAAGCGGUCGAUCCAUAGCUGGUUUGAGAGGAAGAUCAGCCACACUGGGACGGAGACGCGGUCCAGACUCCUACGGGAGGCAGCAGUGGGGAAUCUUGGACAACGGCGGCAACCCUGAUGGAGCCAUGCCGCGUGAGUGAUGAAGGCCUUAGGGUUGUAAAGCUCUUUCAGCUGGGAAGAUAAUGACGGUACCAGAAGAAGAAGCCCCGGCUAACUCCGUG